AGGGCGCACGGUGGAUGCCUUGGCACUAGAAGCCGAUGAAGGACGUUACUAACGACGAUAUGCUUUGGGGAGCUGUAAGUAAGCUUUGAUCCAGAGAUUUCCGAAUGGGGAAACCCAGCAUGAGUUAUGUCAUGUUAUCGAUAUGUGAAUACAUAGCAUAUCAGAAGGCACACCCGGAGAACUGAAACAUCUUAGUACCCGGAGGAAGAGAAAGAAAAUUCGAUUCCCUUAGUAGCGGCGAGCGAAACGGGAAGAGCCCAAACCAACAAGCUUGCUUGUUGGGGUUGUAGGACACUCUAUACGGAGUUACAAAGGACGACAUUAGACGAAUCAUCUGGAAAGAUGAAUCAAAGAAGGUAAUAAUCCUGUAGUCGAAAAUGUUGUCUCUCUUGAGUGGAUCCUGAGUACGACGGAGCACGUGAAAUUCCGUCGGAAUCUGGGAGGACCAUCUCCUAAGGCUAAAUACUCUCUAGUGACCGAUAGUGAACCAGUACCGUGAGGGAAAGGUGAAAAGCACCCCGGAAGGGGAGUGAAAUAGAACCUGAAACCGUGUGCUUACAAGUAGUCAGAGCCCGUUAAUGGGUGAUGGCGUGCCUUUUGUAGAAUGAACCGGCGAGUUACGAUUUGAUGCAAGGUUAAGCAGUAAAUGUGGAGCCGUAGCGAAAGCGAGUCUGAAUAGGGCGUUUAGUAUUUGGUCGUAGACCCGAAACCAGGUGAUCUACCCUUGGUCAGGUUGAAGUUCAGGUAACACUGAAUGGAGGACCGAACCGACUUACGUUGAAAAGUGAGCGGAUGAACUGAGGGUAGCGGAGAAAUUCCAAUCGAACCUGGAGAUAGCUGGUUCUCUCCGAAAUAGCUUUAGGGCUAGCCUCAAGUGAUGAUUAUUGGAGGUAGAGCACUGUUUGGACGAGGGGCCCCUCUCGGGUUACCGAAUUCAGACAAACUCCGAAUGCCAAUUAAUUUAACUUGGGAGUCAGAACAUGGGUGAUAAGGUCCGUGUUCGAAAGGGAAACAGCCCAGACCACCAGCUAAGGUCCCAAAAUAUAUGUUAAGUGGAAAAGGAUGUGGCGUUGCCCAGACAACUAGGAUGUUGGCUUAGAAGCAGCCAUCAUUUAAAGAGUGCGUAAUAGCUCACUAGUCGAGUGACACUGCGCCGAAAAUGUACCGGGGCUAAACAUAUUACCGAAGCUGUGGAUUGUCCUUUGGACAAUGGUAGGAGAGCGUUCUAAGGGCGUUGAAGCAUGAUCGCAAGGACAUGUGGAGCGCUUAGAAGUGAGAAUGCCGGUGUGAGUAGCGAAAGACGGGUGAGAAUCCCGUCCACCGAUUGACUAAGGUUUCCAGAGGAAGGCUCGUCCGCUCUGGGUUAGUCGGGUCCUAAGCUGAGGCCGACAGGCGUAGGCGAUGGAUAACAGGUUGAUAUUCCUGUACCACCUAUAAUCGUUUUAAUCGAUGGGGGGACGCAGUAGGAUAGGCGAAGCGUGCGAUUGGAUUGCACGUCUAAGCAGUAAGGCUGAGUAUUAGGCAAAUCCGGUACUCGUUAAGGCUGAGCUGUGAUGGGGAGAAGACAUUGUGUCUUCGAGUCGUUGAUUUCACACUGCCGAGAAAAGCCUCUAGAUAGAAAAUAGGUGCCCGUACCGCAAACCGACACAGGUAGUCAAGAUGAGAAUUCUAAGGUGAGCGAGCGAACUCUCGUUAAGGAACUCGGCAAAAUGACCCCGUAACUUCGGGAGAAGGGGUGCUCUUUAGGGUGCAAGCCCAGAAGAGCCGCAGUGAAUAGGCCCAAGCGACUGUUUAUCAAAAACACAGGUCUCUGCUAAACCGUAAGGUGAUGUAUAGGGGCUGACGCCUGCCCGGUGCUGGAAGGUUAAGAGGAGUGGUUAGCUUCUGCGAAGCUACGAAUCGAAGCCCCAGUAAACGGCGGCCGUAACUAUAACGGUCCUAAGGUAGCGAAAUUCCUUGUCGGGUAAGUUCCGACCCGCACGAAAGGCGUAACGAUUUGGGCACUGUCUCAACGAGAGACUCGGUGAAAUCAUAGUACCUGUGAAGAUGCAGGUUACCCGCGACAGGACGGAAAGACCCCGUGGAGCUUUACUGUAGCCUGAUAUUGAAAUUCGGCACAGCUUGUACAGGAUAGGUAGGAGCCUUUGAAACGUGAGCGCUAGCUUACGUGGAGGCGCUGGUGGGAUACUACCCUAGCUGUGUUGGCUUUCUAACCCGCACCACUUAUCGUGGUGGGAGACAGUGUCAGGCGGGCAGUUUGACUGGGGCGGUCGCCUCCUAAAAGGUAACGGAGGCGCUCAAAGGUUCCCUCAGAAUGGUUGGAAAUCAUUCAUAGAGUGUAAAGGCAUAAGGGAGCUUGACUGCGAGACCUACAAGUCGAGCAGGGUCGAAAGACGGACUUAGUGAUCCGGUGGUUCCGCAUGGAAGGGCCAUCGCUCAACGGAUAAAAGCUACCCCGGGGAUAACAGGCUUAUCUCCCCCAAGAGUUCACAUCGACGGGGAGGUUUGGCACCUCGAUGUCGGCUCAUCGCAUCCUGGGGCUGUAGUCGGUCCCAAGGGUUGGGCUGUUCGCCCAUUAAAGCGGUACGCGAGCUGGGUUCAGAACGUCGUGAGACAGUUCGGUCCCUAUCCGUCGUGGGCGUAGGAAAUUUGAGAGGAGCUGUCCUUAGUACGAGAGGACCGGGAUGGACAUACCUCUGGUGUACCAGUUGUCGUGCCAACGGCAUAGCUGGGUAGCUAUGUGUGGACGGGAUAAGUGCUGAAAGCAUCUAAGCAUGAAGCCCCCCUCAAGAUGAGAUUUCCCAACUUCGGUUAU
This 2815-nucleotide ribosomal RNA is filed under the name Klebsiella quasipneumoniae. RNAcentral describes it as "bacterial LSU rRNA". It matches the Rfam family "Bacterial large subunit ribosomal RNA". The record is from RNAcentral. Lineage: Bacteria; Pseudomonadati; Pseudomonadota; Gammaproteobacteria; Enterobacterales; Enterobacteriaceae.